This 235-nucleotide ribosomal RNA is filed under the name uncultured bacterium. RNAcentral describes it as "partial 16S ribosomal RNA". It matches the Rfam family "Bacterial small subunit ribosomal RNA", at positions 118 to 350 of the family's 1533-position model. The record is from RNAcentral.
UGGGUAACCUGCCCUUCACUCUGGGAUAACUCCGGGGAAACCGGGGCUAAUACUGGAUAUGACUCGAACAGGCAUCUGUUUCGGGUGGAAAGAUUUAUUGGUGGAGGAUGGACUCGCGGCCUAUCAGCUUGUUGGUGAGGUAAUGGCUCACCAAGGCAACGAUGCGUAGCCGACCUGAGAGGGUNAUCGGCCACAUUGGAACUGAGACACGGUCCAGACCUCCGUACGGGAGGNA